This 227-nucleotide long non-coding RNA is filed under the name Homo sapiens (human). RNAcentral describes it as "HSALNT0357405". The record is from RNAcentral. Lineage: Eukaryota; Metazoa; Chordata; Mammalia; Primates; Hominidae.
CAGUGGGUCCAGAAGCCCUUUGGAUACUGAUCAGAGGCUCCUUUUGGGCAGAGAUCACAGCAGCAGCCACCAGUUCCGCAGGCUGGGAAGUCCAAAAUCAAGAGGCCUCUGGAGAGGGUAUUCCUACUACAUUCUCACAUGGAGAAGCAAGACUGGAUGACAAAACUUUGUAUCCUUCAAAUGAAGAUGAUGUGGCCAGGUGCCGUGGCGGGCAGAUCAUCUGAGGU